This 468-nucleotide ribosomal RNA is filed under the name uncultured bacterium. RNAcentral describes it as "partial 16S ribosomal RNA". It matches the Rfam family "Bacterial small subunit ribosomal RNA", at positions 28 to 507 of the family's 1533-position model. The record is from RNAcentral.
GACGAACGCUGGCGGCGUGCUUAACACAUGCAAGUCGAACGGAAAGACCCUGCUUUUGUGGGGUGCUCGAGUGGCGAACGGGUGUGUAACACGUGAGUAACCUGCCCUUGACUUUGGGAUAACUUCAGGAAACUGGGGCUAAUACCGGAUAGGAGCUCCUGCUGCAUGGUGGGGGUUGGAAAGUUUCGGCGGUUGGGGAUGGACUCGCGGCUUAUCAGCUUGUUGGUGGGGUAGUGGCUUACCAAGGCUUUGACGGGUAGCCGGCCUGAGAGGGUGACCGGCGACAUUGGGACUGAGAUACGGCCCAGACUCCUACGGGAGGCAGCAGUGGGGAAUAUUGCACAAUGGGCGGAAGCCUGAUGCAGCAACGCCGCGUGCGGGAUGACGGCCUUCGGGUUGUAAACCGCUUUCGCCUGUGACGAAGCGUGAGUGACGGUAAUGGGUAAAGAAGCACCGGCUAACUACGUG